AGGAAUUCUAGGACCCAGCCUAAAAAAAUACAGCCUGAAGAAAGUCAGAAUCUGGACACAGCCACAUGUGUAAUGUUCCAGCAGCAAAAACAAAAAAGAAUCUAGAUACUAAGAUGUGUCUGGACCUUCUGUGAUUACAGCUAAGCAAGCUGAGAAUAAGAGACAUGACUUGCCACAUUCAAGAAGCUGAAAGUGAAGUAACACACAUUUACCUGAUUCCAGAGCCUGUGUUGUUUUGCUGUGGCCCAUUGCCCCACAAGCCUCCAGUGACACCCAGACCUAGAACUAGAGGCCUGGGAAAGUACCAGAUUAGAGUUUAGGGCUACAAGAUGAUAAAUGAUGGACUUAGUCCAGAGUGUGCAUUUUAAUGGGGUAACGCCUAAAGGAUGAAUUCGGUACUGUGAUACUUAGGGUAUUUGCUUAUUUAUUUAUUUUGUUCUUACUCUUAUGUGGCAUAAUUGCAUUUAUGAGAUAAGACAUUAAAAACUAUUCUAUCCUCAGAAUGGUUUGUGUCAUCUGCUCUUUGAGAGUUAAUUUUUUGUUCAUGUGUUUGUUUAACUACAUGGAAUUUGAAGAUAAAUGUCAAUGGUCAGAUUUUCUUUUUUUUUUUGGCAGCCUUACUUUGUCACCCAGGCUGGAGUGCAGUGGCACGAUCUCAGCUCACUGCAGCCUCCGCCUCCCGGGUUCAAGUGAUUCUCCUGCCUCAGCUUCCCAAGUAGCUGGGAUUACAGGCGCCCGCCACCAUGCGUAGCUAAUUUUCUUGUAUUUUUAGUAGACACAGGGUUUCACCAUGUUGGUUAGGCUGGUGUCAAACUCCUGACCUCAAGUGAUUUGCCCACCUUGGCCUUCCAAAGGGUUGGCAUUACAGGUGCGAGCCACUGUGGCCAAGGUCAUAUUUUUUUUCCACAAGUAUGUAAUAGAGAUUUAGGAAAGCCAUAGUUGGCUAUAUUCAAGGAAAUUAAAUUGUUUUUAAAUAAAAAUCCAUGAAACUACAAUAUACAAAAGUUAGUAAGCAUCAUAAACAUGAAGUAAACUAGAAGUAUGUACUAGAGAGCAUUAUUCCUUAUUAAGUGUUAAGAAAAGUUUUAUUAAUAACAUUAAUUCUCUAGAUAAUCACUUUUUAUAUCCUUUCAAGAUGUCUCUAUCUUGAAACAUUUAUCUGCCACAUUAUAAAAAUAGAUAUUAUUUUAUUCAUUUAUAGAAUACUCACUGUGUUUAAGGCACUAUUCUGGACAUCGAGCUGCAAUAGUGAACAUAAUCAAGUUUCUGCUCUCAUUAAGCUUUGCUUCUAGUGAAGACACAAAUAACAAAUAACUAAACAAAUGAGUAAUCUAAUAUUUCUAUAUGUAUUAGUUAGAGCUAAGUACCCCCUGCUCCUCCAAGCUUCCAAGCCUCCAAGCCUCCCUCCUCCAAAAUGACUAAAAUCAUGUAUUUUUCUUUCCAUAGUCUUAAGGUGCCUGGUAGUGAGUAGCUCAAUCCCUGUGCACAUUAGAAAGAAUUAGGAUUCCUUCCAGGUAUCUGCUGCACCAUCUCCUAUGGCAUUGUUGGCUGAUUAAGCUAGGUCACCAUUACAUACAGGUGACAGCUGCCAGGAGGAUCUUAAGCUACCAGCGGCUUCCCCGCAGCACAUUGUAUUGGAGGGAACUUAGAAAUGAAAGGAUGCCAAUGAACGUGUGGCUAGGUGACCAUGUGGUCAGCUUCAAUUCCAUUACUUUGGAAGGAGAAGAGAGAGGAUUUUAAUGGCUAUCUAGUAGUCUCUGCAUAAUUUUGUACAGUUGUUUAACAACAUAGGAGAUGAUUAUGGAGAUUAUUAUGGUAAAUUGUCAUAAAAAUUUCUCUACAAGCGUUGAUUAACCAUUCUACUGGAGCAUACAGUUUGUUUCCAUUGUUUUAUUACUAUGGACAAGUUAAAAUAUUAGUGGUUCAUGAUUACAUUUUUUAUUAUCUCCUUAAGGUAUAUUUAUAGAAAUAAACUUACUAGUAAUAUUUGGACAACUUUACUUGUUGUUAAUCAUUUUCCAAAAGUAUUAUAUACAUUUUCAUUUACCUAUAGAAUUUUUUUCACACUCUUGCUAGAAAUGAACAUGGAUCUUGUUACUUAUUAAUAUGAGAGACAAAACCACUAUCUUGUUUCAUUAAAUAUUUCUUUGAUUACUAUUUGUCUGAUUUUUUCUCCAGUAUUUUUUAGGUAAUUACAUUUCUUUCAUGUACCUGUUGGGAUACUUCAAUUACAUUGUAUAAAUUGUUAUAGAUUAAGUAUUAAUCCUUUGUUAUAUUUGUUACCAGUGUGUGUUUUUCUUAAGUACUUUUAAAUAUUGUACUUUUAAAUGUUAUAUGGAAAAUAUACUUUUAAAAUAUACAAUUAUGUUCUAGUAAUAACACUUAUUAAAACUUCCAACAUCUCCAGUCAAUGGUAUUCAGCAGUCACCUCUUCUUUCGCUUGCAUGUGGAUCUUUCAGACAUACGACUCGACACAAACUGAGUAUCUUCAUAGGAGCCCUUCUCAGACUGAGUCAUAGUUUGGAAAAGUGUUAUCCAGUUUGGGAGAAGGUGCCUCCUGCUUUUUACUAUUUCUUCAGAACAUAACCUAAAGUAUGUGAUCUUAGAUGACAUUUGUCCAUCUUUAUUCACUUCAUUUGUCCUUUGAGAGAAAUUUGAAAGGAGAAGGUACAAGGUAGUGUGAGUUCUCUUCUCACGGUUGAGCUUCCUCCACACAUUUGGUUGUCCCAUUCAUUCUCAUCAUAAUAUCCCAGGUGGCUCAUUCUCAAACAACUUUCUUUUAACCAGUCCUAACAUUUUAGGAUGUAUUUUUAAAGAAUGAAUGACUUUAUGAAGUUCACAGUCAACAUUUAAGCAUGAAAAUACACAAAAAUUCCCUUUCUCAAAAGUAUAUAAUUGAAGUCUUGUAGGAAUAUUUUAUGUUUUAAAAAUAUACCAGUCAGCUUUUGCUAAGUUAGAAAGUGAAGUAAACAUAAUUUUAAGCCAGGCGGGGUGGCUCACACCUCUAAUCCCAGCACUUUGGGAGGCAGGUGGAUUGCUUGAGCCCAAGAGUUGGAGACCAGCCUAAACAACAUGGCAAAAUCCUAUCUCUAACAAAAAUACAAAAAAGCCAGGUAUGGUUGUGCAUGCCUGCAGUCCCAGCUACUUGAGAGGCAGAGGUGGGAGGAUCACUUGAGUCUGGGAGGUUGAGGCUGCAGUGAGCCACGAUUGCACCACUU
Molecule: long non-coding RNA, 3218 nt
Filed under: Homo sapiens (human)
Lineage: Eukaryota; Metazoa; Chordata; Mammalia; Primates; Hominidae
Description: HSALNT0011190
Source: RNAcentral